This 405-nucleotide ribosomal RNA is filed under the name uncultured bacterium. RNAcentral describes it as "partial 16S ribosomal RNA". It matches the Rfam family "Bacterial small subunit ribosomal RNA", at positions 28 to 526 of the family's 1533-position model. The record is from RNAcentral.
GAUGAACGCUGACAGAAUGCUUAACACAUGCACGUCAAAUUGUGGCGGAAGGGUGAGUAAGGCGUAAAGAACGUGCAUCACAGCUAGGGACAACAUAUGGAAACGAAUGCUAAGACCUAAUACUGUGAGAGAGCUUUGCGUCCCAUUAGCUAGUUGGAGAGGUAACGGCGCACCAAGGCGAUGAUGGGUAGCCGGCCUGAGAGGGUGAUCGGCCCAACGGAGCAGGAGUGACGGCCCUUACUCUUUCUGGAGCCAGCAGUGCGGAAUGUUGGACAUUAUACCAAGGUCUGAUCCAGCAAUUCUGUGUGCCUGAUGAGGUUUUCGUACUGUAUAGUGCUUUCAGUUGGGCAGCGUUACCAACAGAAGAAGUGGCGGCUAAAUACGUGCCAGCAGCCGCGGUAAUAC